GAUGAAGAACGCAGCGAAAUGCGAUAAGUAAUGUGAAUUGCAGAAUUCAGUGAAUCAUCGAAUCUUUGAACGCACAUUGCGCCCGUCAGUAUUCUGGCGGGCAUGCCUGUUCGAGCGUCAUUACGCCCCUCAAGUCCCCUGUGGACUUGGUGUUGGGGAUCGGCGAGGCUGGUUUUCCAGCACAGCCGUCCCUUAAAUUAAUUGGCGGUCUCGCCGUGGCCCUCCUCUGCGCAGUAGUAAAACACUCGCAACAGGAGCCCNNNNCGGUCCACUGCCGUAAAACCCCCCAACUUUUUAUAGUUGACCUCGAAUCAGGUAGGACUACCCGCUGAACUUAAGCAUAUCAAUAAGCGGAGGA
Molecule: unclassified non-coding RNA, 358 nt
Filed under: soil metagenome
Description: partial contains 5.8S ribosomal RNA, internal transcribed spacer 2, and large subunit ribosomal RNA
Rfam family: 5.8S ribosomal RNA (bases 1-120)
Source: RNAcentral